AUUCCAAACAGAGGGAGUAGAUAUUUAGUCCCUUUCGCUUCUAGAAACAUUUAAUAACAAAGACUUUCUUUUGCGGAAUAAAAGUAAACCAUAGCCAAAGAUGAUAAUUGACUCGAUCAUCAAUACAAUAAUCCAAUGAAGUAGAUAGACCUCACCAAGAAGAAUUUUGAUUAUUUAUUUCUUGGUUGUCCUCUCCACUUCGAGAUAAACAUAGAUAAGACAUAAAAAAUCUGAACUCAAUAAAUGUCUAAAUCCAGAGGCAAAAAAAUCAUUUGGAACGGCUCGAUUUGAAGCGAUCCCCAACAUGUAUCCCACUGAAGUGAGGGAGACGAUUCUGCUAGACCCGCUUUUUCAACCAAAAUCGCCAGACAUUCCUACGUUAUGUCUCAUCUCCUCUCUUGGUGUGUUUCUACCAUCUCUUGUAGAGAUAAGAUCCCGUCCCCUGUGGAUAUGCAUCUCGGACACUUGCGAGUCCACUCCCGGAAUUUCUUUGGCAGCGUACACUGUACAGCGCCUAGAGCUUUGAUAUUUUAGCAUGGAAUAAGAAACAAGAGAUAUUCGUUGCCAUGGAUUGGACGGUGAAAGGGAUGGGCGAUGGCUACCAUCGGCAUCAUCACCGGCCACCUGUUUCUUCUCUGUUGCUUUACUUGCACGGUUGCAACACCAAUUCCUUCAGCUUUCACUUUCGGCCCUUAUGACGCUCUCCUACUCCAAGCAAGAGGUCGGUCCAGAUUCGUGCCCGUUAAAGCAGACAGGAAGGAAGAAGGCUCCGCCUCAUCAAGGUCUUUAUUCAGUGAGGGAGUGCCUCUGAGUUGGACGCCAUGGUGCCGUGGAGGCUGGAGGCGCGACUGGCAGAGACGGUGAGGGCAGCGCUCCUCGGCUGGCUCUUCUUCUGCAUCACCGUCGCCAGCGAUGUCGCAUAUGCGCUCAGAAGCAGCGAUCUCUCCAUCUAAGGCCGGCCACGUUCAACAUCGCCGGCUGCCUUUUCAACUCUGCGCCUACAAAGUGGCAGUUCAUUGGACACGCAGGAAGAAAAUUGAUUUACAGCAGUGUAACCAGACAGUGAGUUCAUCCAUGAGAGAAUGAGUUCAACGUAAAGGUGAAAUAUUCAUAUAGAUUAGAUGUAAAAUCUUGUAUCAAACAGAGAAAUACUGGCUAUUGCUCAAAGUGGCCUGACUUUCAAACAAAGGUAGCAUAGAUAGCGCUGGUGCAACUUAGUAAUUAACAAUAUAGCUGGUGCAUCGGAA
This is a long non-coding RNA of Triticum aestivum (bread wheat), 1247 nucleotides long. RefSeq lists it as uncharacterized. Lineage: Eukaryota; Viridiplantae; Streptophyta; Magnoliopsida; Poales; Poaceae. The transcript has 2 exons. The record is from RefSeq and is a predicted model, not a curated record.